This 412-nucleotide ribosomal RNA is filed under the name uncultured Pelagibacteraceae bacterium. RNAcentral describes it as "bacterial SSU rRNA". It matches the Rfam family "Bacterial small subunit ribosomal RNA", at positions 638 to 1050 of the family's 1533-position model. Lineage: Bacteria; Pseudomonadati; Pseudomonadota; Alphaproteobacteria; Candidatus Pelagibacterales; Candidatus Pelagibacteraceae. The record is from RNAcentral.
CAGCUAGAGUAUGAUAGAGGAAAGCAGAAUUUCUAGUGUAGAGGUGAAAUUCGUAGAUAUUAGAAAGAAUACCAAUUGCGAAGGCAGCUUUCUGGAUCAUUACUGACACUGAGGAACGAAAGCAUGGGUAGCGAAGAGGAUUAGAUACCCUCGUAGUCCAUGCCGUAAACGAUGUGUGCUAGACGUUGGAAAUUUAUUUUCAGUGUCGCAGCGAAAGCGAUAAACACACCGCCUGGGGAGUACGACCGCAAGGUUAAAACUCAAAUGAAUUGACGGGGACCCGCACAAGUAGUGGAGCAUGUGGUUUAAUUCGAAGCAACGCGCAGAACCUUACCAUCCCUUGACAUCCCUGUCGCGGAUCCAGAGAUGGAUCUUUCAGUUAGGCUGGACAGGUGACAGGUGCUGCAUGGCU